This 26-nucleotide unclassified non-coding RNA is filed under the name Mus musculus (house mouse). Its description in RNAcentral is "oocyte_clustered_small_RNA13887". Lineage: Eukaryota; Metazoa; Chordata; Mammalia; Rodentia; Muridae. The record is from RNAcentral.
UUUGAACUUGCUAUGUAGCUCAGGCA